This is a non-coding RNA of Paramuricea clavata, 215 nucleotides long. The record is from the annotation of a GenBank genome assembly. NCBI's taxonomy places the organism in Eukaryota, Metazoa, Cnidaria, Anthozoa, Malacalcyonacea, Plexauridae.
UCCACUGUUGCGUUUUUCAUACGUACGUAUACGCACGUAAAACCUUAAAUCCGUUUAAAUGUUACUUAUGAAAUACCCAAAUAAAUAAAGCAACAGAAUUUAGUGUUCCGCAAGUUUUAGUAUGCGUUUGUUAACUUAUUUGUAAAAUAUUUAAAAAAUAGAAGGAUUCAAAGUUUUACGUGCGUGUACGUGCGUACGAAAAACGCAACAGUGGA